This 224-nucleotide ribosomal RNA is filed under the name uncultured bacterium. RNAcentral describes it as "partial 16S ribosomal RNA". It matches the Rfam family "Bacterial small subunit ribosomal RNA", at positions 15 to 233 of the family's 1533-position model. The record is from RNAcentral.
GAUCAUGGCUCAGGACGAACGCUGGCGGCACGCUUAACACAUGCAAGUCGAACGGAGAAUAUCGAAGCUUGCUUUGAUAUUCUUAGUGGCGGACGGGUGAGUAACACGUGAGUAACCUGCCUCUGAGAGUGGGGAUAGCUUCUGGAAACGGAUGGUAAUACCGCAUGAAAUCAUAGUAUCGCAUGGUACAAUAAUCAAAGAUUUAUCGCUCAGAGAUGGACUCG